GACGAACGCUGGCGGCGUGCUUAACGCAUGCAAGUCGAACGGAAAGGCCCUGCUUUUGUGGGGUGCUCGAGUGGCGAACGGGUGAGUAACACGUGAGUAACCUGCCCUUGACUUUGGGAUAACUUCAGGAAACUGGGGCUAAUACCGGAUAGGAGCUCCUGCUGCAUGGUGGGGGUUGGAAAGUUUCGGCGGUUGGGGAUGGACUCGCGGCUUAUCAGCUUGUUGGUGGGGUAGUGGCUUACCAAGGCUUUGACGGGUGGCCGGCCUGAGAGGGUGACCGGCCACAUUGGGACUGAGAUACGGCCCAGACUCCUACGGGAGGCAGCAGUGGGGAAUAUUGCACAAUGGGCGGAAGCCUGAUGCAGCAACGCCGCGUGCGGGAUGACGGCCUUCGGGUUGUAAACCGCUUUCGCCUGUGACGAAGCGUGAGUGACGGUAAUGGGUAAAGAAGCACCGGCUAACUACGUG
Molecule: ribosomal RNA, 468 nt
Filed under: uncultured bacterium
Lineage: Bacteria
Description: partial 16S ribosomal RNA
Rfam family: Bacterial small subunit ribosomal RNA
Source: RNAcentral